GGGCGGGGGGAGAGAAGAAAAAAACUAAAGUCAAAAAAGAUAUCAAAGUAUGUAUGUGCCUUUACCUAAGCUACUAAGCAAACCACAACUACCCAAGAAGACAAUCUUUUAAAUAACUUACAAUCAACUACCUUGAAACCAAACAACAAAAAACUUCUAAGCCUUUCUUUAAAAGCACAAAUUAAAAGAAAAAUUUUUCCACCACGCAAAACCACCCCAACCUAAAGUAAGCUCCAACAAACAGCCACUGCUCUCCCCUCACAAACCCAACCAGUCAGUGCAGCAGAGGUGGCUGUGAGAUUGGUCAGCCAUGGUUUUCUGUCACUGUAGAGAUGGACACAAGACAUACACAUACACCUGUGCAGCGACAGCAAUGGCUUCUUCUUUAUUACAAGUUGUUCUCAAGUUUUUAUACCCCAAGGAAAGUGUGAUCUUAAGUCAUUAGUUACAUCAAAAAAGCUCAGGAUAUUCAAUGGACAAAGCAAUAGCUUAUUGUAUUUUAUGGGUACAAAGCAUUGAAUGUCAACAAUUCAUUGCAAAUGUGUUUACCACAAACUAUGAAGGCAUGCACGCUGCUCACUAAGGCACGUAUCCUCUAACUACAAGUAACCCCGAUGUGUUUAUCAGUUCCCAUGCUAACAGCCUCGCUUUCUUCCUUGCCAUGGAUAAACUCAUACUUUAUUAAUUUCUUCUUCUGCUAACUCAGUUGUUUGCCCUGCAGAACAGCUGCUAAGCCUGUUCACAGUUUUCCCUUCCUGUUAUUCCACAGGCUUAGAGAUGACAUCCAAGAGGAGCUAUUCUGUCACCUUUCUGGGGAUGGAGUGAGGCUGAUAGGCCUGCAGUUUCCUGGCUCCUUCUUGGUGCCCUUUUGGAAGACUAAGAAGUUAAGUGAGACCACUCCUAUUUUGUCUGUACCACCAAUACAGCCUCAGAUAACUUUUAAAUCAAGUCCUUGUGCUCACACAAGCAGACACUGCAUGUUCAAGGCACAAGACCUGAAUGUCUUGAUGGGGAAGGGCUUUACAAUACUUUACAGAAGACAGCAUUUUUCACCUUUGUUUUAUUUGUGUGCGAAAAUGAAGAGCAAUAUUCUGUUGAGAGACUGAAUUAAUAUCAAAAUCAAGCUAAACCAAGCUUUCAAGUUAAGGAACACCAGGCCAGAACCUCCCUGAACAGGGUCAGUUCUCUCUAUACAUUCCCAAGCUUUAAUAGCCUUCACUUGUACAACUGUAGAUUUAUUUUCUACAGGGUUCCCUCCUUGUUCUGUAACGGCAAGCACAGGUGCAAACCUGCUGUUCCCCAACAUUUGAAUGCUCCAUUUUGAAAUCUUAAUUUUUAUUAAUAAAGUAAUAACUACACCUUAACAAGGUACCCAAAAAUACUAGAUUGAAAUCUAUAAAAUGCUGCUGACAGAGCCCUUUUCUGAGUGUAAGUGCAUAAGUAUCCUUAAGACUAGCAAGAGCAUUCCCCAUAUCUCUGGUGGGGAAGGACAAGAUUGAUCUGCGUUGUCAGGCAACCAAUUGCAAACUAAAUAUAACACUUCUAAACGCUUGUGUAUCUCAAAUUCAUUAAACACAGAAACUAGAUAAAAGGGGUUCUGCAAACUCCCCAUACUCUUCUUUCUCCCACAGAGAGAGAGGACCAGCACCUGGAGGAGACUGUGACGUUUCUGGACAGGGACUCACUGCUGACGGCUGCCAUGUGCGACAGCAAGCAGGAGGGCCCUGGUGCCAGGGAGCCAGGUGAGGGCAAGGCCACCCUCCCACAGCCGGGCCCAGGGGCUCCUGUGGCAGGCGUUGUGUGGGGCCCAGAGCAGAGGCAGGGGGAGGCAGGAGCUGCUCAGCCAUGCCGCGGCUGGGAGCCCCAGAUUUAUUUCUGCUUCCAGCACUGCCCUGCUGCUUUGCCUUCAGCAUUAAUUUCACCUCACCCAGCUGAACAUGGCCCAUCCUUUGGCUCUGUGUGGUGCCCCUCAGUGGGCUGUAAGCUCUGCUGGCUCCAGGAUUGUGAUUUCACACUCUGCAGCACUACCAGUGACCACAGCUGUGUCUGUGGGGCUGUCAAAGCCCUUUGGGCCAUGCCCAGGACAAACAGGACAUGAGGGGAUCCCUUCACACGUGCACAGGGAGGAAAAUAAAGUAAUGGACCAGGGAGUAAAGGUAAACAAAAAAUCCUCUUCAGUUACACAUAUGGAACAUUCCUGACACAGAAAAAGCAUUCCACCUGCAGGAGAAAGACUGUCCAAAAGUAUCACACACAGCAAACUCAGGUGGCUGUGUCACCACUGGGGUGUGACCAGGCAGGGCCCACUGGAAGCACAGACUGUUCUGCCAGCACUAAACCAGGGGGAUAUGGGAUGCUGUCAACACACCUCAGGGUACAGAAGAUAAGACUAACGAGUCCCAAGCUUGAGGCCUUUGCAAGACAGGUAAGAAUAAGGGGAAGCAGAGCUGGUGUGCUCAUGGCCAGUCAACUAACUUCUUAUUUUAACAGAAAGAACACAGCGGAGAGUUUUAAUAAUUUGGGAAAGGUCAGCAUCCAGUCCUACCUUCACAAACCUGAGAUGUCAGCACAAAGAACCUCUGAGAACUUUGCCUGUGACUAGAGUGGACACUCCUUUUAGUGUGUUUGAGAUGUCAUGAGCAGCAAGUCAGAGCCAUAUGAAGUAGGAGUCACCCAACAGGAUGUAAUUUUUUUUUUUUUUAAUCGUUUUCUGGAAUUAAUAUGAGCAACCAACUGUAAGAUGGAUUUCAGCUAGAAAUAUCUUUUAAAUUAGAAGCCACAACUGAGCAAAUAGAAGACUGUUUACAAACAUUGAUUAUUUAUUUACAGACACUCCUGCUAAUGGAGUCUUCUCCCUAAAAAAAAUGAGAGAAACUUAAAAGAAUAGCACAAUUUUCUGUAAUGAGCAUAUCAGACACUUUGAAGGUUAAAAUGUAUUCCAGGCUAGAAUAAAAGUAACACAUGAAGGGUCAUGGGUCAGCUAACUAGAAGACAUGUGCAUCAAUGCCACUAGUCCCAUCAUUAAGUACACACUGUAGCUAGGAAUUAAGGUAAUAGAAUUUUUAAAAAACUUCAGAUUGCUCCUCUUGAAUUUUUUUUUAAACAAAUCCAUACAUUUAAAAAGUCAGUUCAUUAAGAAAAGUGAGUCUUCACAUCAGGAAAGUUAAAGAUUUAAAUAGAAAAGGCCCCAGCAGGAAUAGCCCCAGUGGAUGGUUUUAAACACAGCACAGAGAAAGAGAGGGGAGAAAAAAAGCCAUUAACAGCUUUAGGGUCUUCCAGUACAUUCUCCUCUUUAAAUGCUGAAAAAUAAGCACAAGGAAAGAAACAUGGAAAAGCUCACAAAGUCUGUGCUAGUCUCAGUCAAGAAUAAGAGAGAGAUUCAAUGGAAUUCUGGAUUUUUAUGAAUAAUUUACAUCAGCCUUAGCAGAGUAUGGUUUUGUUUCUUUUUCAGAUUUAAUAGGUUUCUGACAGACAGCCUCAGGAAACCUUUAAAAAAUCAGAACUUUGAUUACAUUACUGUCAAUAUUUUAGGUUUAAAACACAGAUGUGGGAGCUCACUCAUCCUUGCCACAAACGCAUACCUCAAUUUAAACUGCACUGUCGACAUUGCAAUAUUGCUUCUAAGAAGCAGCACACCAACAGGAUAACUUUCAAUCUCUAAGAUUUCUAUAUAUACACACAAUUUUAGACAGAAUUUAUUUUCAAUUUCUAAUCCACUUUAAUUCAAAGACAGUUUGGUGAUUUCAAUAGGAGCAAGAUCAGAUAAAACAGAUAAAAUAUAAUCAAGGUGUGUGAUUAUAUCACUUAGUGCUUCUUUUCAGCUGUAGAUUUAUGCUACAGUGAGAGAUGAAACAAUCCCCUUUAAAACACUCUAGAACCAAAGCUACAGCAUGACUGCCUGUUCUCAGCAGCUCAAAGAAGAGGACAUCCAGAAAUCAAACUAAAACCAAAAGACUUAGACUUCCAGUUUGCAAUUUCCUCUGUAAAGAAGUCAGAGAAUGCCUUUAAGUGGAGUAUCUAACUAACUUCUGAGUGCUUAGACUGCAGAUUAAUCCUGUAUCUCAAAUCAAUUUACUUAAGGGCAUUAAAAUGCUUUGAAAGAAAAAUUUUUAUACUAACAGUCUUAUCAUUGCCCAGUGCCUUGUGCCAGUGAGCGUGAGGAAAUGAACAUUUUAUGUGUGUGGUGUAAACAACUAGUUAAGUGAGACCACUCCUAUUUUGUCUGUACCACCAAUACAGCCUCAGAUAACUUUUAAAUCAAGUCCUUGUGCUCACACAAGCAGACACCACAGGCCACUUUCUUCCUGCCCAGUGCCCAUUUCCACAGUGAACGUUCCAGCAACACCCCUGCAUCCCAGCACAGAUAAAAUGAUGUGCAGAGCACCCCUGCAUCCCAGCACAGAUAAAAUGAUGUGCAGAGCUCAUACAGAGCUCACAGCACAGCUAAAACAAGCACAGAGCAGAAGUAAAACAAUGGGAUUGCAGAGAGCUUCCCAUACUCUGGCCUACCUCAGUGCAUUAAAUCUGCUUCCCACUGUUUAAACAGAACCAUUUGGGAUGGCAGGGGGAAAGCACAUUUUCAACAUCUAUAGUAACAGGGACCUUAAAGCUGCCAAGAUUUCUUUGGUCAUCUCCACACUGGAAGACCUUUCCCAUGCAGCACAAGGCAAUGGCAAUUAGAGUUAGCACCAGGCCAACCUCACAGCACCACAGGAUUGGCAACAAUUUUUCACAACCUGCUCCAGCUCACAGAUGUUUGGCUUUGUGUCCUGUAAAUUUAAAUUUACUUCACCUUGCCAAACUCAACAGUAUCACAUUUUAGAUAAUUUACUGAUAUUUUUAAGCAGUAGAGGAGAAAAUCUGUGCAUUAUACACAUUGACUGCCACUGAAAUAAUACUUUAACCUGAAGAGAAAAAUCUACUUUUAGAAGCAACUGGUUUACACAAAGCAUCUAUUUUCCUUUGGCCUGUGAUCUUCUAACACAGGCACAGAUUUGUUUGACACACACACACAUAUUUACCUAGGUGAAUGCAUCUGGCAGUCAGUGCAGGUUGUCAUAACCCAAACAACAUCAGCACUUUGUGAUGGCAACAAACAGCAGAAAUCAAUCAAGGCAUUGAUAUGUUGAUACAAUUAUUCCUGUUAGUGGCCAGGUGAUUUAUUGGUAAGUGAGAUAUGUAAUCAAAACUGUUAUUAAUUGUAGUGCCAAAGAUUAGAGGAACUGCAUAUAAUGACUUGCUCAAGUUCUGCACGAGCAGCUUUCACUCACAUUUAUGCUUGUUUUCUGUUUUAGACUGUAAGGCUCAUUUAACUUUUUUCCUUCACAAAGCUUUUUUUGUAAUCAAGGGAUGUCUUCAGCUAAUAUUCCAUGGCAAUGGCAUUCUUUGUAAAUUCAUAUGUCAUCACUGUUGCUUGUCAUUUCUAAUGACAGAGAAAUACUUGGUUAUCAUUGAAGAAAAAUUACAGUAUCAUUACUUGUAUUAUUUUUUAAUUUGAUGAAGCUAUUCACUGAGCAAACCUCCCACUUUUCUCAGGCAUUAAUUUUAUCCAGGAACAAAGUUCUUGCCCUUUUUUUUUGCCAGUAUUCUAGCCAGUAAAGCUCAAAUGAUACUAUGAUCUGCUUAUGUCUGUUCUCCAUUUGCUCAAUACUCACUCAUUCCACUUUUCUCCUUCAAGAAGCAGAUAACUUUGUAUUUAGUACAAGUAAUUGUUACAGUAGUGUUCUAAUACAGCCAGGAAAGAACAAUAA
Non-coding RNA from Taeniopygia guttata (zebra finch), 5750 nucleotides. The record is from RefSeq and is a predicted model, not a curated record. NCBI's taxonomy places the organism in Eukaryota, Metazoa, Chordata, Aves, Passeriformes, Estrildidae.